This is a long non-coding RNA of Grammomys surdaster, 285 nucleotides long. RefSeq lists it as uncharacterized. The record is from RefSeq and is a predicted model, not a curated record. Lineage: Eukaryota; Metazoa; Chordata; Mammalia; Rodentia; Muridae. The transcript is spliced from 3 exons.
UGCUUACAGAAGCAGGGUUUACAAGUUUCCAGCAACUUCUGCCGUUUCUUCUUUAAGAGGGAUCUACUCAUUGGUCCUUUAGAUGGCCUGACACCUUGCCAGGGCUCCACCCACUCUCCUGUCACCAGCAAUGCUACCCUCAACAGCACCACCAGCUCUGUCACUACCCUGAAGUCACUGCCUAACAGACAAAGGGCUCUUGCUGCCGUCCACAGCAUUGUGUACUUCCUGCUCCUGAGCCUCAUGGAACAAGUCAAGGCCACAGACAAAGAUUCAAGAGCAUCU